AGUGAACGCUGGCGGUAGGCCUAACACAUGCAAGUCGAACGGCAGCACAGGAGAGCUUGCUCUCUGGGUGGCGAGUGGCGGACGGGUGAGGAAUACAUCGGAAUCUACCCUUUCGUGGGGGAUAACGUAGGGAAACUUACGCUAAUACCGCAUACGAUCUGAGGAUGAGAGCAGGGGACCGCAAGGCCCUGCGCGAUUGGAUGAGCCGAUGUCCGAUUAGCUAGUUGGCGGGGUAAAGGCCCACCAAGGCGACGAUCGGUAGCUGGUCUGAGAGGAUGAUCAGCCACACUGGAACUGAGACACGGUCCAGACUCCUACGGGAGGCAGCAGUGGGGAAUAUUGGACAAUGGGCGCAAGCCUGAUCCAGCCAUGCCGCGUGUGUGAAGAAGGCCUUCGGGUUGUAAAGCACUUUUGUUGGGAAAGAAAUCCUGUCGGCUAAUACCCGGCGGGGAUGACGGUACCCAAAGAAUAAGCACCGGCUAACUUCGUGCCAGCCGCCGCGGUAA
This 506-nucleotide ribosomal RNA is filed under the name uncultured bacterium. RNAcentral describes it as "partial 16S ribosomal RNA". It matches the Rfam family "Bacterial small subunit ribosomal RNA", at positions 29 to 523 of the family's 1533-position model. The record is from RNAcentral.